GCCUGGUUAGCUCAGUCAGUAGAGUAUGAAACUUUUAAUCUCAGGGUUGUAGGUUUGAGCCUCACAUUGGGCA
Molecule: non-coding RNA, 73 nt
Organism: Mus musculus (house mouse)
Lineage: Eukaryota; Metazoa; Chordata; Mammalia; Rodentia; Muridae
Source: Rfam